AGAGUUUGAUCCUGGCUCAGGAUGAACGCUAGCGGCAGGCUUAACACAUGCAAGUCGAGGGGUAUAUUUCUUCGGAAUUAGAGACCGGCGCACGGGUGCGUAACGCGUAUGCAAUCUACCUUUCACAAAGGGAUAGCCCAGAGAAAUUUGGAUUAAUACCUUAUAGUAUAUAUGAAUGGCAUCAUUUAUAUAUUAAAGAUUUAUCGGUGAAAGAUGAGCAUGCGUCCCAUUAGCUAGUUGGUAUGGUAACGGCAUACCAAGGCAACGAUGGGUAGGGGUCCUGAGAGGGAGAUCCCCCACACUGGUACUGAGACACGGACCAGACUCCUACGGGAGGCAGCAGUGAGGAAUAUUGGACAAUGGGCGCAAGCCUGAUCCAGCCAUGCCGCGUGCAGGAUGACGGUCCUAUGGAUUGUAAACUGCUUUUAUACAGGAAGAAACCCUGGUUCGUGAACCAGCUUGACGGUACUGUAAGAAUAAGGAUCGGCUAACUCCGUGCCAGCAGCCGCGGUAAUACGGAGGAUCCAAGCGUUAUCCGGAAUCAUUGGGUUUAAAGGGUCCGUAGGCGGUUUAAUAAGUCAGUGGUGAAAGCCCAUCGCUCAACGGUGGAACGGCCAUUGAUACUGUUAAACUUGAAUUAUUAGGAAGUAACUAGAAUAUGUAGUGUAGCGGUGAAAUGCUUAGAGAUUACAUGGAAUACCAAUUGCGAAGGCAGGUUACUACUAAUAUAUUGACGCUGAUGGACGAAAGCGUGGGUAGCGAACAGGAUUAGAUACCCUGGUAGUC
RNAcentral lists this ribosomal RNA (786 nucleotides) under uncultured bacterium. RNAcentral's name for it is "bacterial SSU rRNA". It matches the Rfam family "Bacterial small subunit ribosomal RNA", at positions 8 to 795 of the family's 1533-position model. The record is from RNAcentral.